GAUUAACGCGAAGAACCUUACCUACCCUUGACAUGGUCGGAAUCCUGCUGAGAGGUGGGAGUGCUCGAAAAAGAACCGGCGCACAGGUGCUGCAUGGCUCUCGUCAGCUCGUGUCGUGAGAUGUUGGGUUAAGUCCCGCAACGAGCGCAACCCUUGUCCUUAGUUGCUACGCAAGAGCACUCUAAGGAGACUGCCGGUGACAAACCGGAGGAAGGUGGGGAUGACGUCAAGUCCUCAUGGCCCUUAUGGGUAGGGCUUCACACGUCAUACAAUGGUCGGAACAGAGGGUUGCCAACCCGCGAGGGGGAGCUAAUCCCAGAAAACCGAUCGUAGUCCGGAUUGCACUCUGCAACUCGAGUGCAUGAAGCUGGAAUCGCUAGUAAUCGCGGAUCAGCAUGCCGCGGUGAAUACGUUCCCGGGCCUUGUACACACCGAAUCACUAGU
This 444-nucleotide ribosomal RNA is filed under the name uncultured bacterium. Its description in RNAcentral is "bacterial SSU rRNA". It matches the Rfam family "Bacterial small subunit ribosomal RNA", at positions 954 to 1402 of the family's 1533-position model. The record is from RNAcentral.